RNAcentral lists this long non-coding RNA (312 nucleotides) under Physcomitrium patens. RNAcentral describes it as "long non-coding RNA (PPAT_LNC013357)". The record is from RNAcentral. Lineage: Eukaryota; Viridiplantae; Streptophyta; Bryopsida; Funariales; Funariaceae.
CUUCUUGUUGCAUUCAAGCUUCAGUAGACCAAAGCAAUUGAACUAAUAGAGGUGGGUUCGAACAAGGAGAAAGACUGAUUAUAUGAAUUGGGUCUCUUAGUAUCGCAAUUGAUUGUACUCUAGCUAUCUAAAAUCAAUUAUCAAACUACAAAACAUCGAGGCUUACUACUUUCGUCUUAAUUCAAUCCAUAAUCCAUUCUAUGAUUAUCAAUUCAACAAUACUUCUCUCAAUCAAAAUUCUUCAUAAGCAAAUAAUAAAAAACAUAAAGAAGUAGCACCAAGCUUACCACGGCUUACAACUCUUACAAUCUG